GACGAACGCUGGCGGCGUGCCUAAUACAUGCAAGUAGAACGCUGAAGGAGGAGCUUGCUCUUCUGGAUGAGUUGCGAACGGGUGAGUAACGCGUAGGUAACCUGCCUGGUAGCGGGGGAUAACUAUUGGAAACGAUAGCUAAUACCGCAUAAGAGUAGAUGUUGCAUGACAUUUACUUAAAAGGUGCAAUUGCAUCACUACCAGAUGGACCUGCGUUGUAUUAGCUAGUUGGUGGGGUAACGGCUUACCAAGGCGACGAUACAUAGCCGACCUGAGAGGGGGGUCGGCCACACUGGGACUGAGACACGGCCCAGACUCCUACGGGAGGCAGCAGUAGGGAAUCUUCGGCAAUGGACGGAAGUCUGACCGAGCAACGCCGCGUGAGUGAAGAAGGUUUUCGGAUCGUAAAGCUCUGUUGUAAGAGAAGAACGAGUGUGAGAGUGGAAAGUUCACACUGUGACGGUAUCUUACCAGAAAGGGACGGCUAACUACGUG
Molecule: ribosomal RNA, 495 nt
Filed under: uncultured bacterium
Lineage: Bacteria
Description: partial 16S ribosomal RNA
Rfam family: Bacterial small subunit ribosomal RNA
Source: RNAcentral